This 206-nucleotide ribosomal RNA is filed under the name uncultured bacterium. RNAcentral describes it as "partial 16S ribosomal RNA". It matches the Rfam family "Bacterial small subunit ribosomal RNA", at positions 1287 to 1500 of the family's 1533-position model. The record is from RNAcentral.
CUCAGUUCGGAUUGGAGUCUGCAACCCGACUCCAUGAAGCUGGAUUCGCUGUAAUCGCGCAUCAGCCACGGCGCGGUGAAUACGUUCCCGGGCCCUUGUACACACCGCCCGUCAAGCCAUGGAAGCCGGGAGUGCCUGAAGUGCGUGAGCGCAAGCAGCGCCCUAAGGUAAAACCGGUGACUGGGGCUAAGUCGUAACAAGGUAUC